This 407-nucleotide long non-coding RNA is filed under the name Durio zibethinus. RNAcentral's name for it is "long non-coding RNA (DZIB_LNC001869)". Lineage: Eukaryota; Viridiplantae; Streptophyta; Magnoliopsida; Malvales; Malvaceae. The record is from RNAcentral.
AGUUACAACCUAAGAGCCUUUUUCAAUAUCUUAUCUUUCUUUGAUUCCAGAACACAACAAGACCCAUUUCUAUCUAUAUAGAAUAUAUAGAAUUUUUUAGAUAUAAAUCUAAAUCAAAUCAUGUCUUCACAUAUCAAAUAUUUCCAUAUCGAUACAUAUGACACUUUUGUUCUGACAAUGUGAUGGAGAGUGAGUGCGAAAAAGAAACUUUCAUUUUGAGUCUCCUAUUAUUUAAUUUAAUAUUGUAUUAGAUUGAAAAAUAGGAACUUCUCUCUUUUUCUGAUAUAGAAAAGUAAAUAGAAAAAUAUUCGAAGUGGAUUUCUCGACCCGUGAAAUGAAAAAAUAUACUCUGGAGUUGUUUUUUGUUUUAUAUUCAUCUGAAGGAAAUAUGAGAAAGAAAACAACAA